Molecule: ribosomal RNA, 253 nt
Filed under: uncultured bacterium
Lineage: Bacteria
Description: partial 16S ribosomal RNA
Rfam family: Bacterial small subunit ribosomal RNA
Source: RNAcentral
UACGUAGGGGGCGAGCGUUGUCCGGAUUCAUUGGGCGUAAAGAGCUCGUAGGCGGUUUGUUGCGUCGGCUGUGAAAUCCCGAGGCUCAACCUCGGGUCUGCAGUCGAUACGAGCAAACUAGAGUGUUGCAGGGGAGACUGGAAUUCCUGGUGUAGCGGUGAAAUGCGCAGAUAUCAGGAGGAACACCGGUGGCGAAGGCGCUGCUCUGGGCCGGUACUGACGCUGAGGAGCGAAAGCGUGGGUAGCAAACAGG